CGUUACUGCAGUAUUACAGAUGAAGGUUGUGCUGCUCUGGCUUCAGCUCUGAGGUCAAACUCCUCAUCACACCUGAGAGAACUGAAUAUUUACUAUAAUAAUCCAGGAGAAUCAGGAGUGAAGCUGCUCUCUGAUCUACUGAAGGAUCCACACUGUAAACUGGAGACACUACACAUUAAGGAUAAUAAACUCACCAGGACUGGCGUAUGACAGGAGUCUCACCUCAAACCUCUUUUCCAGGAUAAAGCAGUUUUGGUGAAGCGUUAGAACCCGUCCCACAUUUCCAGCAGGUUGGGAGCUGAAUCAUUCAUAUUCAGAUGUAGAAGUUCCAUAACAAUAACCGUGACUGAUCACAUCCUUUUAUCCACUCAGCUACAAGUUACUUCAGGCUUUAAUAACCUAUUUUACAAUCCAAAGUCAAAUCCUUCAGUGUCUACACACAACACAGAGAUAUCAUCACAUCAUCACACUGAUUACACAAAUACACAUCCAUGUGUUGUAGCUGUUUAUAGCUUAUUUUUAGCUCCACAUUUUUAUUUAACAUUUGUGUCUCCACUGAUGAUUGAUUAAUAGUUGUGAUACUGAUUUAUUUAUUUUUCCUCUAAAAAUGAUUUUCAGAGCUCUGUUCUUUGUUGUUUAUCUGUUUUUAAUGGUAACCAUGGUAAGAACUCUGUUGCUUGAGUUGUUGUUGUUAUGGUGAUAAAUUAACCUCACUUCUAUCUUACCAGUUCCUUGGGUACAGACCAGCAGGGUUCUUGUCCCAGACUUGAACAGUUUUUGCUGAACGAUAACUAGAUAUUUUGACUGUCUAAUAUAUUUAGAUUUUUUUAAACUGUAACUGAAAAGCUUUAAGUACAUGCACUCUAUAUAUUUGUCAUUUAAUACAGUUUUGUAUAUACGUUGUAUACAAGCACUGUGCACUUUAUUAGGAACACCUGUACACAUUCAUGCAGUAUAUUGGUAAUUUAUAACAUCAAAUAUACAAUAUAUAAGUAAAUAAGCAAAAAAUAAAGGUGUUUUUAAUUUA
This is a long non-coding RNA of Pangasianodon hypophthalmus (striped catfish), 1027 nucleotides long. RefSeq lists it as uncharacterized. Lineage: Eukaryota; Metazoa; Chordata; Actinopteri; Siluriformes; Pangasiidae. The transcript is spliced from 2 exons. The record is from RefSeq and is a predicted model, not a curated record.